CCUACGGGAGGCAGCAGUGGGGAAUAUUGCACAAUGGGCGCAAGCCUGAUGCAGCCAUGCCGCGUGUAUGAAGAAGGCCUUCGGGUUGUAAAGUACUUUCAGCGGGGAGGAAGGUGUUGUGGUUAAUAACCRCAGCAAUUGACGUUACCCGCAGAAGAAGCACCGGCUAACUCCGUGCCAGCAGCCGCGGUAAUACGGAGGGUGCAAGCGUUAAUCGGAAUUACUGGGCGUAAAGCGCACGCAGGCGGUCUGUCAAGUCGGAUGUGAAAUCCCCGGGCUCAACCUGGGAACUGCAUUCGAAACUGGCAGGCURGAGUCUUGUAGAGGGGGGUAGAAUUCCAGGUGUAGCGGUGAAAUGCGUAGAGAUCUGGAGGAAUA
This 378-nucleotide ribosomal RNA is filed under the name Enterobacter cloacae subsp. cloacae. Its description in RNAcentral is "bacterial SSU rRNA". Lineage: Bacteria; Pseudomonadati; Pseudomonadota; Gammaproteobacteria; Enterobacterales; Enterobacteriaceae. The record is from RNAcentral.